CCUUUAUAUCGCGCGUGUCUGAGGUAGCAACAAGUCAGAUUUACGUGAGCGAUCGACGGAAAAGAAGAAAAAUCUGCGAGGGAGGCUGUCAGAGAAGAGCGGAAUCGGAAGACAGUGAGUGCGACAGCGAUUGCUCUUUCGACAAUGACGUAUGCCUUGCGGGUGUAAAGUUAACAACGAAGGAUAAAGAGGAAAUAAAGAAGUAUCAACGCGAAGCUCCGAAAGCCAUCUAAAGCAGAAAAUUGUCUUUCUUCUCUCUACGAUUGCCAGUCAUCAGUUGCAUAACGAAUCAAUCAAAUAAAAAUAAAAUACUCGACAAAGAUGGUAAAAGCUGGAAAGAAAAUAUUAACAAAUCGCAGGGGAAAAAUUAACUGGUUACGACGUCGACUUAAUAGAACAAACUGGAACUAUUUCGUGAAAUUAUUUCGGAUGAUCUGGAAUUAUUUCACACGGGCAUUCACAGAGAAGGAAAGAAAUUUCCACUAGCUUCUGUCAAUCGAAAGAUCCUUCCACGAGCUGUUUAUUAUUGUAUCAUGUACCAACUUUAAUUGUAAGUAUAAAAUACGAACGAUCGACUCAGGUGAUUUGCACGAUUUAUGCGUAGCAAGAAAAUAUUAAUUAUGGUCUAUUAAUAAAACUAUCGAUUAUUAAUAAGUUUUUUACGACGACCAACACUUCGAUCAAGAUUAAUAGAUACCAAGAUUAAACCAUCAACUUCUCACUCAACACCUCACUAACAAAUCAAACUUUGACGCAUCUAACAAAAAAGUGAUACUAAAAUUAUCGCAACUCGAUCUUAUAAACUUGAUCGCGCAAUUUCAAGGACAACAAAUAAUUUUGUAAAAUAAAAUGAAAUAAAUUGUAAAAUAAUUUAA
Molecule: long non-coding RNA, 875 nt
Organism: Frieseomelitta varia
Lineage: Eukaryota; Metazoa; Arthropoda; Insecta; Hymenoptera; Apidae
Exons: 3
Source: RefSeq, a predicted model, not a curated record